Molecule: ribosomal RNA, 380 nt
Filed under: uncultured eukaryote
Lineage: Eukaryota
Description: partial 18S ribosomal RNA
Rfam family: Eukaryotic small subunit ribosomal RNA
Source: RNAcentral
CAAUAGCGUAUAUUAAAGUUGUUGCAGUUAAAAAGCUCGUAGUUGGAUUUGUGGCGUACGGUGUGUUCCGGGCACUUGUUGUCUGAGUAACCUGCUGUUGCCAUCCUUGGGUGGAACCUGUGUGGCAUUAGGUUGUCGUGCAGGGGAUGCCCAUCAUUUACUGUGAAAAAAUUAGAGUGUUCAAAGCAGGCUUAUGCCGUUGAAUAUAUUAGCAUGGAAUAAUGAGAUAGGACUUUUUUGCUAUUUUGUUGGUUUGCGCAAAGAGGUAAUGAUUAAUAGGGACAGUUGGGGGUAUUCGUAUUCCAUUGUCAGAGGUGAAAUUCUUGGAUUUUUGGAAGACGAACUACUGCGAAAGCAUUUACCAAGGAUGUUCUCAUUAA